Molecule: long non-coding RNA, 272 nt
Organism: Octopus sinensis (East Asian common octopus)
Lineage: Eukaryota; Metazoa; Mollusca; Cephalopoda; Octopoda; Octopodidae
Exons: 3
Source: RefSeq, a predicted model, not a curated record
UAUGGCAAACAGUGAGUUGGCGGACACAUAUCUUGGCAAUAAUGUUACACAAUUAAGAAACGGUAGCCUGAUUGCAGACCUGAUUUUGGAAUUCAAACGUGCAGAUCCCCAGGUAGAGAUUGUCCGCGACAUCAUCAAUAACAUUACAGGUGUAAUAAGAGAAAAGACGAAAGUGAAUUCCGAAAAUACUGAACAACAAUCAACAACAGGCACGACUGAAGAAUUAACAACAACAGCCACAACUGAAGAACCAACAACAACAGUCACAACUG